UACGUAGGGGGCAAGCGUUGUCCGGAAUUAUUGGGCGUAAAGCGCGUGUAGGCGGCUCGGUAAGUCUGCUGUGAAAGUCCAGGGCUCAACCCUGGAAUGCCGGUGGAUACUGCCGGGCUAGAGGGUGGUAGAGGCGAGUGGAAUUCCCGGUGUAGCGGUGAAAUGCGCAGAUAUCGGGAGGAACACCAGUAGCGAAGGCGGCUCACUGGACUGGUAUUGACGCUGAGGUGCGAAAGCGUGGGGAGCAAACAGG
RNAcentral lists this ribosomal RNA (253 nucleotides) under uncultured bacterium. RNAcentral describes it as "partial 16S ribosomal RNA". It matches the Rfam family "Bacterial small subunit ribosomal RNA", at positions 524 to 776 of the family's 1533-position model. The record is from RNAcentral.